Molecule: ribosomal RNA, 490 nt
Filed under: uncultured bacterium
Lineage: Bacteria
Description: partial 16S ribosomal RNA
Rfam family: Bacterial small subunit ribosomal RNA
Source: RNAcentral
AUUGAACGCUGGCGGCAGGCCUAACACAUGCAAGUCGAACGGUAACAGAAAGCAGCUUGCUGCUUUGCUGACGAGUGGCGGACGGGUGAGUAAUGUCUGGGAAACUGCCUGAUGGAGGGGGAUAACUACUGGAAACGGUAGCUAAUACCGCAUAACGUCGCAAGACCAAAGAGGGGGACCUUCGGGCCUCUUGCCAUCGGAUGUGCCCAGAUGGGAUUAGCUUGUUGGUGGGGUAACGGCUCACCAAGGCGACGAUCCCUAGCUGGUCUGAGAGGAUGACCAGCCACACUGGAACUGAGACACGGUCCAGACUCCUACGGGAGGCAGCAGUGGGGAAUAUUGGACAAUGGGCGCAAGCCUGAUGCAGCCAUGCCGCGUGUAUGAAGAAGGCCUUCGGGUUGUAAAGUACUUUCAGCGGGGAGGAAGGGAGUAAAGUUAAUACCUUUGCUCAUUGACGUUACCCGCAGAAGAAGCACCGGCUAACUCCGUG